Molecule: long non-coding RNA, 1551 nt
Organism: Zonotrichia albicollis (white-throated sparrow)
Lineage: Eukaryota; Metazoa; Chordata; Aves; Passeriformes; Passerellidae
Source: Ensembl
AUGCCAGGACCCCAAAACUUUUUGGGACAACACCACGACCCCAAAACCUUUGGUGCCAACCCCACAACUCUGCAGGCACAACCCUCAAGGGUGCACCCCCGUUACGGCAGGGCCAGGAGCUACUGGCAUUGUGGAGAAUUCCAUUCCCCUUCCUGGGGAGUGUCCGUCCUGUUCUCUGGCCCAUUCCGCUGUCUGGCCCAUCCUGCUGUCUGUCCAUCCCACUGUCCAGCCUGUCCCUACUAUCUGGCCCAUCCUGUUGUCCGGCCUGUCCUGUUGUCUGGCCCAUCCCAUUUUCCAGCCCAUCCCGUUGUUCAGUCUGUCCCAUUAUCCAGCCUGUCCUGUUGUCUGUCCAUCCCGUCCCAUUGUCUGGCCCAUCCCAUUGUCCGACCUGUCCCGUUCUCUGGCCCAUCCCCCUGUCCAUGUGUUCUGCUCUCUGGCCCGUCCUGCUGUCCGUCCAUCCUGCUGUCUGGCCUGUCCCAUUGUGUGGCCCAUCCCAUUUUCCAGCCUGUCCCACUGUCCUCCCUGUCCCAUUAUCUGGCCCAUCCCAUUUUCAGGCCCAUCCCAUUGUCCGGCCAAUCCCAGUAUCCAUCUGUCCCGCUAUCUGGCUUGUCCCGCUGUCCAUCCGUCCCGCUGUCCAUCCAUCUGUCCCACUGCCCAUCUGUCCGUGCGUCCAUCCAUCCAUCCUGCCGUCCGUCCGUGCGUCCAUCCGUCCCUACUGCCCGGUGCCGUAGGGCCAGUUGAAGGUGCUGCCGGACAGCAGCAUGUCGCGGAUCAGGGUCUCGAUGGGCGUCUUGCCCACCAGGCGCAUGAAGAAGAGCUGUGAGAUGAGGGCGGCGGGCACGGCGCGCAGCGCGGGCAGCCGCAGCAGGAGCCGCCCGAAGCGCUGCGGCUGUGACGGGAACUGCGAGCGCUCGUACUCGGUCAGCGCCACCUGCGCCUUCUCCUGCAGCGUCUCCACGUGCGCCGGGUCCGACAGCCCGCAGGCGUCUGCAAGGGAACAGAGAGGGUUUCGAUGUGUGGGGUGGCAUGGGAUCUGUUGGGAAUGUCCCCAAAUCCAAUAUCCCCAAAAUCCAUUGGGAAUAACCCCAAAUCCAUUGGAAACAGCCGAAAAUCCAAUAUCACAAAACCCACUGGGGAUAUCUCCAAAUCCGUUCGGAAUAACCUCAAAUCCAUUGGGAAUAUCCCCAAGAGAAUAUCCCAAAAGGCAGUAUCCCCAAAUCCAUUGGGAAUAUCCUCAGAUCCAAUCUCCCAAAAUCCAUUGGGAAUCUCUCAAAAUCUAUUGGGAAUAUCCCAAAAUCCAAUAUCUCAAAAUCCAUUUGGAAUAUCCCAAAAUUUAAAGAAAUAUCCUGAAAUUUAUAGGGAAUAUCCCCAAAUCCAUUGAGAAUAUCCCCAAAUCCAUCAGGAAUCUUUCAAAAUCUCAAGUCCCCAAACCCUCAGAAAAACCCGCAAAAACCUUUCCCUGUUCAUUCCCAAAUUCAGAUGGACCCAACCACCAGCUCUUGGAAAAACACAGGAAAACCUCUCCUUACUCACUCCCAGAACCCCCAAACC